AUUCGUCUGGAGAACUCUAAUACAACAAGGCCCUCUUGACUCUUCAAGUCUGUGUUAGGAGCUCUUCCUACACUUUCUCGUAGCAUUGUGUGCAGUUCCUAGCAUAGAGAUCAUCGUAGUGAUCUACGUAAAUGUAUAUGGCCCUACAUUUGUCAUCUACCACAAAAGCUAUGGUUUUCCUGAACUUAAUCCUCUGGAUCUUCAGAGCAGAGAAAGUAUUCAAGAGAAAUGACAAAAAGACUGAGAAUCUCUGAGGUCCUUGGGUUUCCAGAGGUAUUCCUGCAAGGAACAGUCAAGCAGCAUCAAACCUUCAGACCUUCUGAAACAGCCUGGUUCCUCCCAGCACUGGGUCUGGUUCUGCCGCCCUCCUUUCCAACAUGUCACGUCAGUCAUCCUCCCAACAAAUUCAGUAGUUGGUUAAGCAAGCCAUAUACAGUGUUAGUUGACUGAAAUCAAAGCUCUAUAGCUAAUACCAGAGGAAAGCAAAGUUCUGAUUUUCAUAAGGUUUUGAAUGCUGUGCUAUGGAUUUUGGACUUUAUUUUGAAGGCAAUAAAGAUUGUAAUAAAGAUAGUAGCAUGAGUGAACUGGUUAAGAGAUUUGCCAAAAUGUCUAGCCAUUCAACUUCGUAAGUAUAUGAAAUUCUCCAUAGAAGUAUAAUGUUAAAUAAGUGGCCUUCAGUAAGGCAAAAACAAACAAACAAAAAAAUAGAUAGCUGCUCUUUCUAUUUCUGUUACUAUUAAAGAAAAUGUAGCUUUCCAAAUGACUUAAUUUUACUCAUGAAUGAAUGAAUAUUGAGUUAAUAACACUCUCCAUACUUUCCCUUUUUUAUAUAUAUAUAACUUGAGAUAAUAAUUGCUACUUAAAGUAGGAUGUUUAUAAAUACAUGGCAGUACUGUGUAUGCUUUCUUCUUUGUGGUUUUUAUAUGCUUUUAUACGUUCUGUGUAUGAAUGUUGAGGAGAACUUCUUUUAGAAUUAGUUAGAAUAAACUUGUUCAUUCUGAAAGC
RNAcentral lists this long non-coding RNA (1005 nucleotides) under Homo sapiens (human). Its description in RNAcentral is "PKN2 antisense RNA 1". Lineage: Eukaryota; Metazoa; Chordata; Mammalia; Primates; Hominidae. The record is from RNAcentral.